GACGAACGCUGGCGGCGUGCUUAACACAUGCAAGUCGAACGGAAAGGCCCUGCUUUUGUGGGGUGCUCGAGUGGCGAACGGGUGAGUAACACGUGAGUAUCCUGCCCUUGACUUUGGGAUAACUUCAGGAAACUGGGGCUAAUACCGGAUAGGAGCUCCUGCUGCAUGGUGGGGGUUGGAAAGUUUCGGCGGUUGGGGAUGGACUCGCGGCUUAUCAGCUUGUUGGGGGGGUAGUGGCUUACCAAGGCUUCGACGGGUAGCCCGCCUGAGAGGGUGACCGGCGACAUUGGGACUGAGGUACGGCCCAGACUCCUACGGGAGGCAGCAGUGGGAAAUAUUGCACAAUGGGCGGAAGCCUGAUGCAGCAACGCCGCGUUCGGGAUGACGGCCUUCGGGUUGUAAACCGCUUUCGCCUGUGACGAAGCGUGAGUGACGGUAAUGGGUAAAGAAGCACCGGCUAACUACGUG
This 468-nucleotide ribosomal RNA is filed under the name uncultured bacterium. RNAcentral's name for it is "partial 16S ribosomal RNA". It matches the Rfam family "Bacterial small subunit ribosomal RNA", at positions 28 to 507 of the family's 1533-position model. The record is from RNAcentral.